This 254-nucleotide ribosomal RNA is filed under the name uncultured bacterium. RNAcentral describes it as "partial 16S ribosomal RNA". It matches the Rfam family "Bacterial small subunit ribosomal RNA", at positions 524 to 776 of the family's 1533-position model. The record is from RNAcentral.
UACAGAGGUCCCAAGCGUUGUUCGGAUUCACUGGGCGUAAAGGGUGCGUAGGUGGCCAGGUAAGUUUGGUGUGAAAGCUCGGAGCUUAACUCCGAAAAGUCAUUGAAUACUAUCUGGCUGGAGGGUCGGAGGGGAGACUGGAAUUCUCGGUGUAGCAGUGAAAUGCGUAGAUAUCGAGAGGAACACCAGUGGCGAAGGCGAGUCUCUGGACGACUCCUGACACUGAGGCACGAAAAGCUAGGGGAGCAAACAGG